Molecule: ribosomal RNA, 482 nt
Filed under: uncultured bacterium
Lineage: Bacteria
Description: bacterial SSU rRNA
Rfam family: Bacterial small subunit ribosomal RNA
Source: RNAcentral
CUGGCUCAGGACGAACGCUGGCGGCGUGCCUAACACAUGCAAGUCGAGCGAGGAGAUCCUUCGGGAUGAUCCUAGCGGCGGACGGGUGAGUAACACGUGGGCAACCUGCCUCAUAGAGAGGAAUAGCCUUCCGAAAGGGAGAUUAAUACCUCAUAACAUUGCAGUUUCGCAUGAAACAGCAAUUAAAGGAGCAAUCCGCUAUGAGAUGGGCCCGCGGCGCAUUAGCUAGUUGGUGAGGUAACGGCUCACCAAGGCGACGAUGCGUAGCCGACCUGAGAGGGUGAUCGGCCACAUUGGGACUGAGACACGGCCCAGACUCCUACGGGAGGCAGCAGUGGGGAAUAUUGCACAAUGGGGGAAACCCUGAUGCCAGCAACGCCGCGUGAGUGAUGACGGCCUUCGGGUUGUAAAGCUCUGUCUUCAGGGACGAUAAUGACGGUACCUGAGGAGGAAGCCACGGCUAACUACGUGCCAGCCGCCGC